RNAcentral lists this ribosomal RNA (216 nucleotides) under Wyeomyia luteoventralis. RNAcentral describes it as "partial 16S ribosomal RNA". The record is from RNAcentral. Lineage: Eukaryota; Metazoa; Arthropoda; Insecta; Diptera; Culicidae.
GAUCUUUAUUUUUAUUUUUUAUAAAUUAAAAAGAUUAAAUAAAUUUAUAAUAAAAUUAAAAAUUUUAUUGGGGUGAUAUUAAAAUUUAAAAAACUUUUAAUUUUAAUUACAUUAAUUUAUGAAUAAUUGAUCCAAUUUUAUUGAUUAAAAAUUUAAGUUACCUUAGGGAUAACAGCGUAAUUUUUUUUUAGAGUUCAUAUCGACAAAAAAGAUUGC